UCGCGGGCGUCUUAGCCCGACCCGGCAGGGCUACGGAGUAACGGCCGCAGCCCCGGGUGGGCUGAGUCGGCAUGUCGCAAGGCCGGGAGCGCGACGAGGCCUCUGCCACAGUCAUACCCUCUGCCUCUGCCCAUUACUCCGGAGCCUCCCUGUCGGUGAGGUGCACAGUUGCUGGGCCUUAGACAUCUGGAAAAGCUCUAACAAGACUUUUCUGUCCCUCCACGUUCUGGAGGACUGUUUGCAAUUCAGCAUCGUCCUCUGUC
RNAcentral lists this long non-coding RNA (263 nucleotides) under Rattus norvegicus (Norway rat). Its description in RNAcentral is "long non-coding RNA NONRATT003904". Lineage: Eukaryota; Metazoa; Chordata; Mammalia; Rodentia; Muridae. The record is from RNAcentral.